Molecule: small nuclear RNA, 102 nt
Organism: Marmota monax (woodchuck)
Lineage: Eukaryota; Metazoa; Chordata; Mammalia; Rodentia; Sciuridae
Source: RefSeq, a predicted model, not a curated record
AGAUAAUACAGAGACGAUUAGCAAAUUGAGAUAAUACAGAGACGAUUAGCAUGGUCCCCAUGCAAAGAUGACACACAAAUUAACAAAGCAUUCCACAUUUUU